Molecule: small RNA, 29 nt
Filed under: Bombyx mori (domestic silkworm)
Lineage: Eukaryota; Metazoa; Arthropoda; Insecta; Lepidoptera; Bombycidae
Description: ovarian small RNA-30931
Source: RNAcentral
UGAAGCAGUCAUGCGUUUCAGUUUGAAGA